UAUCACCUUAUCCGGGAUCCUCAUAUGGAUAACUGCGGAAAUACUGGAGCUAAUACAUGCAACUAUACCCCAACGCAAGGCGGGGUGCAAUUAUUAGAACAGACCAAACGUUUUCGGACGUUGUUUGUUGACUCUGAAUAAAGCAGUUUACUGUCAGUUUCGACUGACUCUAUCCGGAAAGGGUGUCUGCCCUUUCAACUAGAUGGUAGUUUAUUGGACUACCAUGGUUGUUACGGGUAACGGAGAAUAAGGGUUCGACUCCGGAGAGGGAGCCUUAGAAACGGCUACCACGUCCAAGGAAGGCAGCAGGCGCGAAACUUAUCCACUGUUGAGUAUGAGAUAGUGACUAAAAAUAUAAAGACUCAUCCUUUUGGAUGAGUUAUUUCAAUGAGUUGAAUACAAAUGAUUCUUCGAGUAGCAAGGAGAGGGCAAGUCUGGUGCCAGCAGCCGCGGUAAUUCCAGCUCUCCUAGUGUAUCUCGUUAUUGCUGCGGUUAAAAAGCUCGUAGUUGGAUCUAGGUUACGUGCCGCAGUUCGCAAUUUGCGUCA
This 547-nucleotide ribosomal RNA is filed under the name Caenorhabditis elegans. RNAcentral's name for it is "SSU rRNA". It matches the Rfam family "Eukaryotic small subunit ribosomal RNA", at positions 111 to 673 of the family's 1831-position model. Lineage: Eukaryota; Metazoa; Nematoda; Chromadorea; Rhabditida; Rhabditidae. The record is from RNAcentral.